UGGCCAAUGACUAGGAUUCUCAUCUGUUAGCUCAGUAUCAAUUAUCAUACAUCUAUAUAUUUUAUAAGACUUAUCUUAUCAGACGCCUUAUUGGCGUCCCUCCUAGCUGGUGGAUCACAUCGUGCCGCUGGAGCAGGAGCCGAGGGGAAAGAGAGCGACACUUCCUUUUUCCUCUUCUUAAAUAUGAGUCUCCUUGCUAUGUCACUUCCUGUCUGGAACACCAUUUCUCUACUACAUUUCCCAGAAUCCUCUUUGACUCCUAGUCCAGCCUAACCUGCUGUCACAUUGGCCAAGCAAGUACUUUAUUUAUAAACAUACGCAGAAGUAUUUCCCCCAUCAUCUCUUAUUUUCUGUCUAAAUAAAAAGGGUAACUUAUUUUUUAUAAUAACUGAAGAAAACUAUAACCAUAACUAUCUGUCUUCAACUCUAUCAAAGACCACAGAAGGAUAAUAUAUAAACUCUAGAAUUGACAGGACAUCUUGCUACCUGGACAGUCACCCAAAGUUCCUCUGUAAUGUUGGGGCAUCCAUCUUCAGCCUAUAGGCCACAGUGUGUCUGGCACACUCCUCCUUUUUAACAGGAACCCUUCAGUUUUGUAAGUUUAGCAGUCAUUUUCUUGUGGGUCCUGUAUGUCCAAUUUAUACAGCAACAAACAGUCCAGGCAAGAGCAGUUUCUUGUCCAAAUGGCUAGUCUUGCCAUGUUGAAAGCAAACUCCAUAACGAGUUUCUUCGAUGCCCAUCCUCCUUUCUGACAUAAUUGGUGUGCCAGGAGCAGUUGUGUCUCACUGCCAAGAAAAACCCUAAACCAUUUAAAUGCCAUAUUUCUGUAGGUCUUUGAAAGGUUUGAAGAACACCUAACCAUCUCAAAUACAUCUCUAUAUCUAGAAAACCUAACUAACCUAAUUAUAAGUUCUGACUAUUAUAGGUAAAAGAUCUGUAUAAACACAAUACCUAAACAAGAGUAGACAUAUACAUAUCACAAAACUGACCUUAAAGUUGUAUCAAUAAAUGAAAAUCUUUACCAAUUUAAAGUAUUCAUUCCUAUAUCCUAUUCCCCUUUUCUUUCUUUAAAAAGAGAUUGACUAUGCUCAUUAUCAUUUAUAACUAACCUCAUUUAAAUGAAAAAAACAUUUAUAAACAAUACUUGGGAAUAUGGGUGUCGUUCUUUCUAAACUGCUUCCUGCUGAUUGGGGGCGAUGUUCAUAUACCAUUAGGAUCAUGAUAAAACAUAGAAACCUGACCAAGUCCUUGUUUUUAUAGUCUGUAAGGCUGUAUCAUCUCAGCUUCAGGGGGUCUUGCUUGAUCAAACCAUAUUAGUCUGGAAGGAAUCCACAGCUUCUGAUUUUCUGUGUAAAUACAAGUAAAACCUUUAUUUCUAAGUAGACUGUCCUUAAACUCAAAUCCUGAAGUUAGAGCAUUUUUAAAAUGUAUAAGUUGGAUUAAUUUAGCAGCAUUUAUAAUCAAAUGUAUUUUAGCAGCAGUAAUUCUUUCCUCGGCAAUCAAACAAUUUAAAGACAACAGUAUGGCAUUUAGUAUCCAGAUUCUCUGUGUAUUUUUCAUCUCUAGGUGGCUUUUUUACUAUUCUACUUUUACUUCCUUUUGUUUCUUUUUUUUUUUUCUGAGACGGUUUCUCUGUGGAAAUCUGCCUGCCUCUGCUUCCUUCAGCAAAUUCUACCGGCAUUGGCCACCAUAACCCGGCUAUUCUAUUUCCUCCUGUUACUUUUUCUCUCACAAGCCUACAUAUAUUUUUAAAUGUAGUGUAAACCUUUAGAGGUUUUUCUUUAUCUGGAUCUGUCUUUAUCAUCUCAGAAGUGCCGAGUCUAAACCCCAGAAGCAAGCGCCGGGACGGCGCGAGCAUAUGGAAGCUGCUCCCAUGCAGCUCAGCGGCCCAAAUGAAUACACAGAGAGACUUGUAUUAGUUACAAUGCUGCUUGGCCAAUGACUAGGAUUCUCAUCUGUUAGCUCAGUAUCAAUUAUCAUACAUCUAUAUAUUUUAUAAGACUUAUCUUAUCAGACGCCUUAUUGGCGUCCCUCCUAGCUGGUGGAUCACAUCGUGCCGCUGGAGCAGGAGCCGAGGGGAAAGAGAGCGACACUGCUCUUAUGGAAAACCCGAGAGAGGUUCCUAGCACCCAUGUUAGGAGGCGCACAACCAUUCUUGCUGGAGAUAUAGAAGACACAGACAUUCCCUUGAUACCUGUGUUCACACACACC
RNAcentral lists this long non-coding RNA (2211 nucleotides) under Cricetulus griseus (Chinese hamster). RNAcentral describes it as "lncRNA (ENSCGRG00015034955.1)". Lineage: Eukaryota; Metazoa; Chordata; Mammalia; Rodentia; Cricetidae. The record is from RNAcentral.